AAAAAAGGUAAGCUACUAAGAGCGAAUGGUGGAUGCCUUGACUGGUAAAGGCGAUGAAGGACGUACUAGACUGCGAUAAGCUACGGGGAGCUGUCAAGAAGCUUUGAUCCGUAGAUUUCCGAAUGGGGCAACCCAAUGUAUAGAGAUAUGCAUUACCUAUAUAGGAGCGAACGAGGGGAAUUGAAACAUCUUAGUACCCUCAGGAAAAGAAAUCAAUAGAGAUUGCGUCAGUAGCGGCGAGCGAAAGCGCAAGAGGGCAAACCCAGUGCUUGCACUGGGGGUUGUAGGACUGCAAUGUGCAAGAGCUGAGUUUAGCAGAACAUUCUGGAAAGUAUAGCCAUAGAGGGUGAUAGUCCCGUAUGCGAAAAACAAAGCUUAGCUAGCAGUAUCCUGAGUAGGGCGGGACACGAGGAAUCCUGUCUGAAUCCGGGUCGACCACGAUCCAACCCUAAAUACUAAUACCAGAUCGAUAGUGCACAAGUACCGUGAGGGAAAGGUGAAAAGAACUGAGGUGAUCAGAGUGAAAUAGAACCUGAAACCAUUUGCUUACAAUCAUUCAGAGCACUAUGUAGCAAUACAGUGUGAUGGACUGCCUUUUGCAUAAUGAGCCUGCGAGUUGUGGUGUCUGGCAAGGUUAAGCAAACGCGAAGCCGUAGCGAAAGCGAGUCUGAAUAGGGCGCUUAGUCAGAUGUUGCAGACCCGAAACGAAGUGAUCUAUCCAUGAGCAAGUUGAAGCUAGUGUAAGAACUAGUGGAGGACUGAACCCAUAGGCGUUGAAAAGCCCCGGGAUGACUUGUGGAUAGGGGUGAAAGGCCAAUCAAACUUCGUGAUAGCUGGUUCUCUCCGAAAUAUAUUUAGGUAUAGCGUUGUGUCGUAAUAUAAGGGGGUAGAGCACUGAAUGGGCUAGGGCAUACACCAAUGUACCAAACCCUAUCAAACUCCGAAUACCUUAUAUGUAAUCACAGCAGUCAGGCGGCGAGUGAUAAAAUCCGUCGUCAAGAGGGAAACAACCCAGACUACCAGCUAAGGUCCCUAAAUCUUACUUAAGUGGAAAACGAUGUGAAGUUACUUAAACAACCAGGAGGUUGGCUUAGAAGCAGCCAUCCUUUAAAGAAAGCGUAAUAGCUCACUGGUCUAGUGAUUUUGCGCGGAAAAUAUAACGGGGCUAAAGU
RNAcentral lists this ribosomal RNA (1172 nucleotides) under Campylobacter jejuni. RNAcentral's name for it is "partial 23S ribosomal RNA". It matches the Rfam family "Bacterial large subunit ribosomal RNA", at positions 1 to 1188 of the family's 2925-position model. The record is from RNAcentral. Lineage: Bacteria; Pseudomonadati; Campylobacterota; Epsilonproteobacteria; Campylobacterales; Campylobacteraceae.